GAUGAACGCUGGCGGCGUGCCUAACACAUGCAAGUCGAACGGAGAUUACGGACGGAAGUUUUCGGAUGGAAGCCUGUAAUUCUUAGUGGCGGACGGGUGAGUAACGCGUGGGCAACCUGCCCUAUACAGGGGGAUAGCAGCUGGAAACGGCUGGUAAGACCGCAUAAGUCGGUUAAAUCGCAUGAUUUGAUCGGGAAAUGAGCAAUCAGGUAUAGGAUGGGCCCGCGUCCGAUUAGCCAGUUGGCAGGGUAAAAGCCUACCAAAGCGACGAUCGGUAGCCGGACUGAGAGGUCGGACGGCCACAUUGGGACUGAGACACGGCCCAAACUCCUACGGGAGGCAGCAGUGGGGGAUAUUGCACAAUGGAGGAAACUCUGAUGCAGCGACGCCGCGUGAGUGAAGAAGUAUUUCGGUAUGUAAAGCUCUAUCAGCAGGGAAGGUGAUGACGGUACCUGACUGAGAAGCCCCGGCUAACUACGUG
Molecule: ribosomal RNA, 481 nt
Filed under: uncultured bacterium
Lineage: Bacteria
Description: partial 16S ribosomal RNA
Rfam family: Bacterial small subunit ribosomal RNA
Source: RNAcentral